UAGAAUCAUUCGUUCUUUUUCCCCAAAUUUCUAUCUUCUCUAAUUUCUCUUCAAAUGCAUCUAUGGAUGAUUGAAGCAUGGUUAUGGAGUAUUCUUCACAUGGUAUCAGAGUAGGAGGCCCCUUCAAUGAAGAGGUCUCUAGUGAUUGGUGAGGCAAAAGAUGGGUUAUAUUUUUUGUGUUCUAAAUGCUUGAUGAAAUCCAAUCAUUCCGGUGAUGCAUGUACCUCUUCAACCUCUUCUCCUAGUUUCAUAUCAAGUCUUCCAAUUUCAAUUAUGUUUCUUGUCCUAUUUCUUCAUGCAAACAUAGUACAUGUAAUCACAAUUUCAAAUCUGUUUCUUGUCCUAUUUCUUCAUGCACACAUAGUAAAUGUAAUCAACAUUGUAUACUAUUCAAUAAAAGCCCUUGUAUUUCUGCUUC
Solanum lycopersicum (tomato) is the source of this 418-nucleotide long non-coding RNA. RefSeq lists it as uncharacterized. The record is from RefSeq and is a predicted model, not a curated record. NCBI's taxonomy places the organism in Eukaryota, Viridiplantae, Streptophyta, Magnoliopsida, Solanales, Solanaceae.